Non-coding RNA from Blyttiomyces helicus, 90 nucleotides. The record is from the annotation of a GenBank genome assembly. NCBI's taxonomy places the organism in Eukaryota, Fungi, Chytridiomycota, Chytridiomycetes.
GGACAAAUGGCCGAGUUGGUCUACGGCGCCAGGUUAAGGUCCUGGUCUCUUCGGAGGCGUUGGUUCGACUCCUUCGGAGGCGUUGGUUCG